Molecule: RNA transcript, 3554 nt
Organism: Cynoglossus semilaevis (tongue sole)
Lineage: Eukaryota; Metazoa; Chordata; Actinopteri; Pleuronectiformes; Cynoglossidae
Gene name: RNA-binding protein with multiple splicing-like
Exons: 9
Source: RefSeq, a predicted model, not a curated record
CUGCCUGGGAGAUGAGGAGAGAGAAGUUUGCCGGCGGCUCGUCCCCUCAACAUUCACCGUGAUUUCAUUUACACGAGGAAGAGCAACAACAGCCAGCGGUGAAGCAUUUUUGCUGGUCCGGGGAAUGCUUAGGACUAAACCACAGCCCAGACCAAGUCAAGUCUUUAUCUGCGUGUUUAUAAAUCAAAUAAAAACAUCCGACAGUCACCGUUGAUGUCGCUAAAGUAGUAGAAACUCGGGUCAGUGGGACAGCGGCCGGACGCGGACUGUUGUCUGACGGAGACGCUGCUUGUCUGAUCGUCUUAUCCUGUGUUUUUAACCGUUGUUUUUGGGUCCCGGAGCAGUAGAGGAGAAGAAAAGACGGAGGCGACGAGAAGAUAAGAAGAAAAGCAGCCCAGUGAAAGUAACAGCGUGCGACUCAGGAUGAAUAACGUCAAAAACGACAAAGAGAACGAGCAGAGUGAAUACACCAACCACGAAGAGGAGGUCCGAACGCUAUUCGUCAGUGGGCUGCCGCUGGAUAUUAAGCCGAGGGAGCUUUACCUCCUGUUUAGACCAUUUAAGGGUUAUGAAGGCUCCCUGAUAAAACUCACCUCCAAACAGCCGGUAGGGUUUGUCAGCUUUGACAGCCGAUCAGAGGCGGAGGCUGCCAAGAAUGCCUUGAACGGGGUCCGAUUUGAUCCGGAAAUCCCCCAAACCUUGCGGCUGGAGUUCGCCAAGGCCAACACCAAGAUGGCCAAGAACAAGCUGGUCGGCACUCCCAACCCCCCUCCCUCCCAACAGAGCCCUGGGCCGCAGUUCAUCAGCAGAGACCCAUAUGAGCUCACAGUGCCUGCUCUAUAUCCCAGCAGCCCAGACGUGUGGGCAUCAUACCCACUCUACCCGGCGGAGCUGUCGCCGGCCCUCCCACCCGCUUUCACCUAUCCCUCCUCUCUCCACGCUCAGAUCCGUUGGCUCCCACCUGCAGAUGGAACUCCUCAGGGAUGGAAGUCCAGGCAGUUCUGCUGAAGUAUGUAAACCAGGAGAACUGACCUGACUUCCAGCUUCUGAUGCAGCGUACCGUCGGCAGCAGCAGCCUAAGGACAUACUAGACCCCAGCCUCCAUCACACAUUGAACCCCAACCACCUGCCCCCUAAAUUCCUCCUAAUUCUCUUUUUAUACUGUUACAUAGCCUAGACUUACAGGCAGUGCUUUGGCUUCACCUCUGUGAUCCGUACCAAGGUGUGUGUGUGGCUAAACACACACUUGGUGUAGCUAGUUGACUCUCUGAGGCCACAGCCAUGUUUGAACAUUAUUGUUUUGAAAUGCAGAAUUAUUGCUAAUUAAUUAUUUAAUUAUUGAAGUGUUCACACUGCUCCAAAGUACUUCAGUGUAAUACACAUUAUACACAAGUUUUUUUUUUGUUUUUUUUUUCUGGUCUGUCUAGUUAAUGGCAAAUGGUCAACUAACAGUUCUGCUCAGACGAUUGUUCUGCAGAUCAGAUAGUGUCUGGUUCUCCAACCCUGGUUGUGUGAGUGUGGACACAGCUUCCCACAAGCAGGUUCAAGCUCUUUGUGUUUUGCAAUAUGCAAGUGUGAAGAUGUCCCAUCACAGGAGUACAAGUCCGUCUUACGCGGUCACUUCGCCAGGCCAGAGGUGUGGCCAAAGCACUGCUGGACAAUGUUAUUAUAUUACUAUAAUUAUCAUUAUUCUGUAUAUCAUUCAUAUUAAUGUUAUUACAAUGAUUAAAAUCCAUGUUGAAGCAUGACUUUGCAAAAAAAGACAAAAAAAAACUAAUAGAAAACAAUGCUGUACAUUUUUUAGAUAUUUUAAUGAAAUACAAAAAAAGGUAUUUUUGUAAUCCAGUUUGAUUGGUUUAUGUUGUUGCUGUUUUGUUGUUUUUUUUUGUUUUUUUUUUUUGUCCUAGCAAGUUACCGUGGUAUACCAAAGCUGUUGGUGUGCUCCUUCCCCAUAUACUGAGUGUGUACAGUAGAUUCUGGUUUUGCUUGUGCGUGUUUUUCGUGUGUGAGUCCCAUGUCUGCGGGGCAUUGGUUCUUCUGAGCCGUGGAUGCUACCACCGGGGGAGAAAAAAAAAAACUAAAACACUCCCAGACCAAGUGGGUUUGCAGUUUGAAGUAAUCAAAUGUGCUAAAAGAGGCAUUAACAGUUUGUAAGGCCGCAGCGGUGAGGAGUGGUGUGACUCCAGGGACUGCACUAGAUGACAAACUGAGUCCUGCUAUAAUUAGGAAGACGUCUCUUUAUUGUCUGGCAGCACAGUACAAAGAAACGAAGACCAAAGGCAUUUAUUUUUUACACUGGAAGGAGUGGAGUCGUAUGGUUUCUGACUGACUUUGUUGUCUGCAAUCUGACUUCUUAUCAAGUUAAAUCCUUUUUUUUUUUUUUUUGCUGCAUGUCUCUGCUGGUGUCACUCCAAAGAGCCUCUUUGAGUUCAGAAGGAUCUUCACUUUAAGCCAUUUUUGUCUUUUUCUCUAUUUUUAGCCGGUCGGCGCGACUCCUUUUUUGUAAAGUCAGAAUUUGCAUACACAUCAUCGUUACGGGGGGGGUUAAAAAGGAAGUCUUUUGUAUAAAAGUGUGCGUAUUCUGGGCCUGCAAUCACAUCCUGAUCAUGUCACAAAAUCAUUAAGUGUCGAUGUUUCCGUGACAACAAAGAGAGACCAAUUCUUGUACCAGAUGAAGCCAAGUCUGAUUUUAUUAGCCAGAAACAUCAACUAAAAGACAGCAAAUAUCCAUAUAUGCUAAACGUACAAUCAUGUAGGCCUGGUUGAAUUAUGUAGUCAGUGUUUGUAAUUAAUUAAUAUGAAUUAUAAUAGUAAUAAUAUUAAUAUGCACACGUGUAAUAUUGACUGAUUUGAGGCAGUUUUUUGCUCUUACAGACAUUUUUAAGCCACAAUUGGCAGCAAAUUUAUAAGUAUUUAUAUGACGUGUGCGUGUGUGUGUUUUUUUAUGGGUAUUCUGCUUCGGAAUUUUCUAGACGCCCAGCAUUUAAUUCAUUGUAGGUAUUGCAGUAAGUCUAAGUUUGUGUUUUAAUUUUAAUGUAGUCGUUUCCCCCCUUUCUAGAGCUUCUGAGUUUUGUUUUGGUUUUUGUUUUGUUUUUUUUGAUCAGAACAUGUGAAAAUACAAAUGCUGUUUUUAUGGUCACUGUGAAAUCCAGACUUGUCACAUGGACAGAUUUUUUUUUUUUUUUUUUUUAAUGCAUCAGUACAGUUCGGAAGCGUCUGGAUGUUAAUACAAUAAUCCCUCCUCUUUCCAAUGACAUAUACACCUUAUUUAAUUAUACCGUGUGCAUAUCUGUGUGUCCUGAGCAUGUUCACAGCAUGUGUGUGUGUGUGUGUGUGUGUGCGCGAGCGCGUUUCUUUCAUUACUGCAUACAGUACUGUUGAUAUUUAUGUACUUUAGCCGCUGUGUAAGAAGAAGCUGUAUUUCAGUGAAGCGCAGAUGUGUGUGUUUGUUUGAAACAAAAAAAAAAAAAAAAAACAUGAUUAAUAUGAGAAGUUUUUAUGACCAUGUAAAUGAAGACAUUUUUGGCCAUCUGCCAUUAAAAUCAUCAACGUCC